AUGGCAGAGGAGAUUGCUGCUCUUGAACGCACUGGUACAUGGGAUCUUGUUUCUCUUCCUCCAGGUGUCCGUCCCAUCACUUGUAAGUGGGUCUACAAGGUUAAGACUCGCUCCGAUGGUUCUCUUGAGCGUUACAAAGCUCGUCUUGUGGCUCGUGGCUUUCAGCAGGAGCAUGGUCGUGAUUACGAUGAGACCUUUGCUCCCGUGGCCCAUAUGACCACUAUUCGUACACUUCUUGUCGUGGCCUCUGCACGCCAUUGGUCUGUAUCUCAGCUUGAUGUUAAGAAUGCCCUUCUUAACGGUGAGCUGUGUGAGGAGGUAUACAUGCAGCCACCACCUGGGUAUUCUGUUCCUGAUGGCAUGGUAUGUCGUCUUCGUCGCUCUGUCUAUGGCCUUAAGCAAGCCCCCCGCGCCUGGUUUGAGCGUUUUGCCUCUGUGGUGACUGCCGCUGGUUUUUUAGCGAGUGCUCAUGAUCCGACAUUGUUUGUCCACCUUUCUCCUCGUGGUCGGACUCUUCUUCUUCUCUAUGUUGAUGACAUGAUCAUAACUGGCGACAACCCCGAGUAUAUUGCCUUUGUAAAGGCCCGUCUUAGUGAGCAGUUUCUUAUGUCCGAUCUUGGACCUCUUCGCUACUUUCUUGGGAUUGAAGUCUCUUCUACCUUUGAUGGCUUUUUUAUAUCUUAG
RNAcentral lists this ribosomal RNA (684 nucleotides) under Triticum aestivum (bread wheat). RNAcentral describes it as "partial small subunit ribosomal RNA". Lineage: Eukaryota; Viridiplantae; Streptophyta; Magnoliopsida; Poales; Poaceae. The record is from RNAcentral.